GACGGUGACGACGUCCUUGAGCGUGGCGUUGGCGGGGAGGCGCCAGUAGUCGAUGGCGAUGGCCGGGGCAGGGACGUUGUCGAUCUUGCCGGCCUCGAGGUCCUUGAGGAACUCGGUGUACGAGUGGAUGGCCUCCUCCUCGAGGUAGCCGACGACGCGGUGCGCGAACUUGGGGGAGAGGAGGUAACCCAGGAAGUAGGCGUUGAAGAAGACGCCCUGGACGGUGAUGACGAGGGCGCGCUCGUACCACUUUGGGUUCGCCACCUCCAUGAAGGUCAUCAGGUGCAUGCGCUCGUUCUCGGCCUCUUCCAGCAGCGUGCGGAUCCAGCCGCCGCUCUGCUCGAAGCGCCGGAGGGACCGGAGGUGGAGCAGCAUGCCGCCCACCAUCCCCGGCACCGCCGCCACCGUCUCCAGCAUCAUCGCGCGGCAGCCAUACCUCCUCUGCACCCAACCCAAUUUGCAGUGUUAACCAUUGACAGUUACAGCAAUUAGCGACCGACUAGAGAUCAUUUCCACAUACUACUAGAAAUGGAUAUCAUGUAAUAUAAUUGUUCUUCCAAAUUAGUCAUAAGACAUUAGAAUCAUAUAUAGAUUAAUUUGCACUAGGAAACAAUUGGAUCACCAGUCAUUGUAGUGCAAACAGUAAUAAGCCUAUGAUUGAUUUAAUGGGCAAGAGAUUAACAAAUCAAAGUUGAGUCCUUCUCACAAUGCGUGUCCUUUUCUUAGCCGUUGUUAUCAGAUAGUAUAGCGGAAAAUAAAAGGACAGGGAUUUUCUACACCUAAGUGCUAUGACACCCAUCAUUUGCAUGCGACUCAAAUAGUUAUAGAAAAAAUUGAAAAAAAAAUUAGUAACAUCGAUUGUGAUGAUAUAAGUCUAUACACAAACAUGCAUGACUAAAUUUGAUCUAUAACUAGAGAAACAAAAAUAAUAAAAUCAGACAGUGAAUAGUACCCGAAGAGCGCAUAUAAAAUUUAUUAUUUUUGUUUCUUCAUAUGUUGAUCGAAUUUAGACUUACAUGUUUGUAUAAUGUUUGUAAAUUUUUUUAUAACGGUUUAAAUUGCAUGCAUACACAUAGGUGCCAUGUUACCUAGGUGUAGAAAAUACUUUCCGAAAAUAAAAUCAAUCACACAGGUGGAUCAGGUAGAACCCAGGCGUCCUAAAUACAAAUGGCAUCUUCCCGGAAGCAAGGAAACCAAAAUUCUCAAGUGCCCUGGUUGCAAUGCUACUUUGCCUCUUAUGACACGCCAAGAGUCACGCGGCCUCUCAGUUUUUCCCUUCGAAAAAAACGUUGAACUAAACACACAGCGCUAAUCACCCGGAGAAUCAAACGGCCGUCGGGCGGUGCAUGGUGAUCGAGUAAGCACAAUUAUACCUGGAAGAAGAUAUCAGUGGGGAAGCGCAGCGACUUGACGGUCCAGUAGGCGAUCUUGUCGAGCAGCGUCUUGGGCACGUGGUGCUUCGUCAGAUCGAUCGAAGUGUCCGCGGUGUAGGUCUCCCAUGGCUGCGGAGAAAAUCAAACCAAAAUUACACACGGCGGCGCGACAAGUUAAGGACCGAGCCUACUAUCUCGGAGUAUGGAUACAUCGAUCUGGCGAUCAAUCUACGGGACAAACAGAAUCGAAACAGGAAACCGAUCAGGAGCAAAGCGAAGCGCAAGUACCCUAAAGCAAGACCACUUCCACUCCGUGCCGUCCUCCCGCACCAGCUUCUUCGACUGCUCGAUGCCCCAGUAGCUGUUGACCACCACCUCCUUCUCCGCGUCCGCCUUCUUGGCCUCCGCCUUGGCCGCCGCCUCCGUCGACGCCACGGACGACGUGGACAUCAGCCGCAACCCCCACACCCCGGGGACGGCUUCUCCGCCUGCAAGGAACGGCCUCGCCGCCGCCGCCGCCGCCGCCGCCGGAGAGGUCGCCGACGCGGUGAAGAGGCGGACGCCGCCGACGUGACGGAGGAUCGCCGAUCCGGCCAUCCGGGAGCUCAUCGCCGCCGUUGAUGUACCCCGAAACGCACGGCUUGACAACACCAAAAAGUUUGGGAGGAAUUCUUAGAGGCGCCUUUUUGUUGACGAGAUGGUUGCGAUUUGCAAAUGGAGAGGGUUUUUUUGGGAGGGUUUUAUAUAGGGAGGAAGAGCGAAAGGAGAGGAACCGGUGGUGGGGCCACACCGUCAGUGACGGGGGAGAUGGGCUUUCCUCGGGCUUUCCCGACUCUGAGGAAAUCUUUUCUUCUUCUCCAAGUUGAUCGGUUAGUAGUACUGUAGCAGUACUACUAAUUCUUGUGAUUUUUUUUUUCAAACUGCCUGUGACUAAUAAUAAAAGGUUCACAUGUGUUUUAUCGCCAAAUUAAAGUAUGUGAUGUGUCGUUGGUACACGCAUCACAUGUUGAUUGAGUUUUUUUUUUCUUAGGAUGGUACUACUGCCUAAUAUCAAAAGAGGCUAAUAUAACAAAGUGCACAAAGUCAAUGUAAAAAAAUGCGUCACUUGUACAGGUGGAGUACAAGUGUACGUACUACAAGUAGAAUAUUCCGUUUAGAACCAUUUCACACCAAGGAUAGUAAUGCGCAAGCAAUUUGCAAGUGCCCGGUAGUACAAGGAAAACGGAACGUACAACAAAGCCAAAGCCAAACUGGAAACGAAUCCUGAUUCUGUUGCUUGUCUUGUGGACCAAGAAAGACUCCAACCAUCCAGGAUGGCAGUCAAAUUAGGCAACUUCUAUUAUUAGAUCCUUAAUCUAACCACUGACAAUUCCAGAACGUGACUAAACAGCUCUAUUGCUAAUUGCGACUAGUAUACGCAGCUAGAAACAUCUGGGAUGUUGCUUUUGGAAAGUGCCUCCAUGGCGGUGUACGUACGUGCUUGCCACAUGAACCACAAUCUGAAUAAGCAAACGUGUCAAUGGUGUUAUCGCUCAUGACAACUCAGUAAGUGUUUAUACGCCCGUAAUAUAUAACGCACACAAGGGAAAUAACAAUCCAGUGCUUGUAUGCGCAUAAUGGACACAAAAGGAAAUAUCAAGCGUAGCGUGGGCGUGGAUUCUAAGGGGACAUCCCCUCGUCGGUUUAAGUUCUAAGUUUAACACGGGAGCUCAAAUUUAUUUUUCAGUGAUAGGUGAUAACAUUUCACAGCGAGGUGCCUAUAUGGUAUCUAUAUGGUAUAUACCGGUCCAGUCUUCGUCUGCCAAUAAUAAUGAAUACUAAAAGAAAAGGGAUUAAAUGUAACACACCAACUUUUUAUUACUGAAGUGGAGAGGGAAUAUUGGGAUGAAUAAAAAAUAAUCGACAUUUAAAAUUAUAUCAACUUAUGGCACCUCCUUAAUUAAAAAAUGUAAAAUGGCUUAAAGAAAUUAUUUUUCUACACUUACUUCCAUAAAAAAAAUCCUGACUGAUUUUUCAAGUUAGGAGUUGAUUUUUCUAAGACAGAUGGUGAAUUGCAGGUGAGCCAUUGUGUUUGUGCUUCUUUGGUGAUUUUUUUCUGAGGGCAUAUUGAAAUCAAGAGUCCAGAAAAAGAAAAAAGUUUAGUGUGAAUGGUAUUUGAACUUGUCUAAAAGAGAUUCCAUUUGCCUUUACACAUUUGGACUGGAUGUUUGGUCUUGGUUGUGUGCACGGGUCAGCCAACGGCCAUGCUUCCUUUGUUAGCAGCAGAGCAUCUUGACAAGUGUUACCUGCUGCAAUUCUGAACACGUGGAUACUUCUACUCCAAAAAAAAUCUUACUAUAUUGUUAUUCACAAUUUGCAUAAUCUCAGCAUGCAUAUAGGUACAGGCAUAAAACGGAGUGACAAUAGCUUAUUUACAUAUAUACACAGAACAAAGUUUAUCCCAAAUAGGAUGUAAAAUACGCAUGUAGUAGCAGUGAUGGUGAUGAACUGAGCAGGCAUCGCCCGUUGAUGAAUGAUGAUCAGUGAUACCCGAUAGGCGCAGGCGUAUCCUUCAGCUUCAUCCCCUGUUGCUGGAUGUCCUGCACAAGUGAUGUACCAACACGAGAAACGCGAUCGGUUAGCUCAAACCCGUUCACACAAAAAUUAAGCAGGCGAGAUUGGUUGUUUUCAGGCUGGCAUAUGCGUACCGAUGCGAAAUGGUUGAGGUCGCGGUGGUGCGCCUCGUCGGCGCGGAUGACGGUGACGACGUCCUUGAGCGUGGCGUCGGCGGGGAGGCGCCAGUAGUCGAUGGCGAUGGCCGGCGCCGGCGUGUUCUCGAUCUUGCCGGCCUCGAGGUCCUUGAGGUACUCGGUGUACGAGCUCACGGCCUCCUCCUCGAGGUAGCCGACGAAGCGGUGCGCGAACUUGGGGGAGACGAGGUAGCCGACGAAGUAGGCGUUGAAGAAGACGCCCUGCGCGGCGAGCACGAGGGCG
RNAcentral lists this long non-coding RNA (4346 nucleotides) under Oryza sativa (Asian cultivated rice). RNAcentral describes it as "long non-coding RNA (OSAT_LNC000842)". The record is from RNAcentral. Lineage: Eukaryota; Viridiplantae; Streptophyta; Magnoliopsida; Poales; Poaceae.